UACAGAGGUCUCGAGCGUUGUUCGGAUUCAUUGGGCGUAAAGGGUGCGUAGGUGGCACUGUAAGUCGGGUGUGAAAUCCUGAGGCUUAACCUCGGAACUGCAUUCGAUACUGCGGUGCUUGAGGACUGGAGAGGAGACUGGAAUUCAUGGUGUAGCAGUGAAAUGCGUAGAGAUCAUGAGGAAGACCAGUGGCGAAGGCGGGUCUCUGGACAGUUCCUGACACUGAGGCACGAAGGCCAGGGGAGCAAACAGG
This 253-nucleotide ribosomal RNA is filed under the name uncultured bacterium. RNAcentral's name for it is "partial 16S ribosomal RNA". It matches the Rfam family "Bacterial small subunit ribosomal RNA", at positions 524 to 776 of the family's 1533-position model. The record is from RNAcentral.